This 353-nucleotide long non-coding RNA is filed under the name Helianthus annuus (common sunflower). RNAcentral describes it as "hypothetical non coding rna". The record is from RNAcentral. Lineage: Eukaryota; Viridiplantae; Streptophyta; Magnoliopsida; Asterales; Asteraceae.
AGAAAGAGGUGGGGCCCACCUCCAAUGCACCAAUCACAUUUUUUUUAUUUAAUUAUUAGUUAAACCACAACGUGAUAGUUAAAGAGUUGGUCAGUUAAAGCCAUUGUCUACGCGGCAGUGACGUGGCGGACGUUAUGUUAAACCACAACACAACAGGAAUCAAGAAUCAAGUAAACUAGCUUUACUAAAUCAUCAUAUUGACACAAAAACUCAUGGAUGUCAUUUAAAUGAUAAAACUAAAAAAACUACCAAAAAAGCUUAACGUCACACCGAUUUUUUUUAACAUUUUUUGGCUGUAAAUCUACAUUUUUAAAAUACAAAAAAGAAAAAAUUAGUAUUGUACAUGUAUAACA